CCUACGGGGGGCAGCAGUGGGGAAUAUUGCGCAAUGGGCGAAAGCCUGACGCAGCGACGCCGCGUGAGGGAUGAAGGUCUUCGGAUCGUAAACCUCUGUCAGCAAGGAAGAACGGUCACUGUGCUAAUCAGCAGUGAAUUGACGGUACCUGCAAAGGAAGCACCGGCUAACUCCGUGCCAGCAGCCGCGGUAAUACGUAGGUGGCGAGCGUUAUCCGGAAUGAUUGGGCGUAAAGGGUGCGCAGGCGGUCCUGCAAGUCUGGAGUGAAACGCAUGAGCUCAACUCAUGCAUGGCUUUGGAAAUGGGAGGACUGGAGAGCAGGAGAGGGCGGUGGAACUCCAUGUGUAGCGGUAAAAGGCGUAGAUACAUGGAAGAACACCAGUGGCGAAGGCGGCCGCCUGGCCUGUUGCUGACGCUGAGGCACGAAAGCGUGGGGAGGAAAUAGGAUUAGAUACCCCAGUAGU
This 464-nucleotide ribosomal RNA is filed under the name uncultured bacterium. RNAcentral describes it as "partial 16S ribosomal RNA". It matches the Rfam family "Bacterial small subunit ribosomal RNA", at positions 338 to 794 of the family's 1533-position model. The record is from RNAcentral.